This 263-nucleotide ribosomal RNA is filed under the name uncultured bacterium. RNAcentral describes it as "partial 16S ribosomal RNA". It matches the Rfam family "Bacterial small subunit ribosomal RNA", at positions 793 to 1055 of the family's 1533-position model. The record is from RNAcentral.
GUCCACGCUGUAAACGAUGAUGACUGGCUGUUGGGUGCCUAGAGCACUUAGUAGCGAAGCUAACGCGUGAAGUCAUCCGCCUGGGGAGUACGGUCGCAAGAUUAAAACUCAAAGGAAUUGACGGGGGCCCGCACAAGCGGUGGAACAUGCGGUUUAAUUCGACGCAACGCGAAGAACCUUACCUACUCUUGACAUCUACAGAAUCUGAUAGAGAUAUUGGAGUGCCUUCGGGAACUGUAAGACAGGUGCUGCAUGGCUGUCGU